ACAGGGAUUGCCCUAGUAACGGCGAGUGAAGCGGCAACAGCUCAAAUUUGAAAUCUGGCGUCUUUGGCGUCCGAGUUGUAAUUUGCAGAGGGCGCUUUGGCAUUGGCAGCGGUCCAAGUUCCUUGGAACAGGACGUCACAGAGGGUGAGAAUCCCGUACGUGGUCGCUAGCCUUUACCGUGUAAAGCCCCUUCGACGAGUCGAGUUGUUUGGGAAUGCAGCUCUAAAUGGGAGGUAAAUUUCUUCUAAAGCUAAAUACUGGCCAGAGACCGAUAGCGCACAAGUAGAGUGAUCGAAAGAUGAAAAGCACUUUGGAAAGAGAGUUAAAAAGCACGUGAAAUUGUUGAAAGGGAAGCGCUUGCAGCCAGACUUGCCUGUAGUUGCUCAUCCGGGUUUUUACCCGGUGCACUCUUCUAUAGGCAGGCCAGCAUCAGUUUGGGCGGUUGGAUAAAGGUCUCUGUCAUGUACCUCUCUUCGGGGAGAACUUAUAGGGGAGACGACAUGCAACCAGCCUGGACUGAGGUCCGCGCAUCUGCUAGGAUGCUGGCGUAAUGGCUGUAAGCGGCCCGUCUUGAAACACGGACCAAGGAGUCUAACAUCUAUGCGAGUGUUUGGGUGUCAAGCCCGAACGCGUAAUGAAAGUGAACGGAGGUGGGAACCUUUCGGGGUGCACCAUCGACCGAUCCUGAUGUCUUCGGAUGGAUUUGAGUAAGAGCAUAGCUGUUGGGACCCGAAAGAUGGUGAACUAUGCUUGAAUAGGGUGAAGCCAGAGGAAACUCUGGUGGAGGCUCGCAGCGGUUCUGACGUGCAAAUCGAUCGUCAAAUUUGGGCAUAGGGGCGAAAGACUAAUCGAACUAUCUAGUAGCUGGUUC
RNAcentral lists this ribosomal RNA (871 nucleotides) under Phoma sp. MP12. RNAcentral's name for it is "eukaryotic LSU rRNA". It matches the Rfam family "Eukaryotic large subunit ribosomal RNA", at positions 68 to 957 of the family's 3401-position model. Lineage: Eukaryota; Fungi; Ascomycota; Dothideomycetes; Pleosporales; Didymellaceae. The record is from RNAcentral.